UCUAUAAUAAUGACCCAUGUUACCAGGUCUUGUUUCUAGUCUAAACAGUUCUAUAAUAAUGACCCAUGUUACCAGGUCUUGUUUCUAGUCUAAACAGUUCUAUAAUAAUGACCCAUGUUACCAGGUCUUGUUUCUAGUCUAAACAGUUAUAUAAUAAUGACCCAUGUUACCAGGUCUUGUUGCUAGUCUAAUCAGUUAUAUAAUAAUGACCCAUGUUACCAGGUCUUGUUUCUAGUCUAAACAGUUAACUCUUUUUCUUUCCAGCGGGAUUUGCCUUUUAUAUAAUUUCACAAAUCAUGUCGCGUGCUGCUUUAAACUAGUCCCGGGUCACUAAUUAUUGGUUUGAUAACAAUCAACAUAGUUCAGUCACUUUACCUAGCUAGCUAACUAUCUGGUAACUUGACCGUAGGUCUAAGCAAAUUUUAUUGGCACUGAAAGAUAGGAAAAGGGUCUGCUACUCAUGAAAUGUGAUUCAUAUAGUUGUGAUUCAUAUAGUUGUGAUUCAUAUGAUGUGAUUCUUAUAGGUGUUAUUCAUAUAGGUGUGAUUCUUAUAGGUGUGAUUCAUAUAGGUGUGAUUCUUAUAGGUGUGAUUCAUAUAGGUGUGAUUCAUAUAGGUGUGAUUCAUAUAGGUGUGAUUUAUAUAGGUGUGAUUCUUAUAGGUGUGAUUCUUAUAGGUGUGAUUCAUAUAGGUGUGAUUCAUAUAGGUGUGAUUUAUAUAGGUGUGAUUCAUAU
This is a long non-coding RNA of Oncorhynchus keta (chum salmon), 732 nucleotides long. RefSeq lists it as uncharacterized. NCBI's taxonomy places the organism in Eukaryota, Metazoa, Chordata, Actinopteri, Salmoniformes, Salmonidae. The transcript is spliced from 4 exons. The record is from RefSeq and is a predicted model, not a curated record.